GCAUGUUGCUCAGACUCUUCACUUUAUUGAUGCCGCACCAGUAUCACAUUCUUCAAAAAUAAGCUACUUUUUGAGAAGCCGAAAUGCAACUGUCAUUUUUGAAGAGUCCGAGUAACAUAGCUUAUCAGAAAUCAGAGUUUGACCAGGAGAGCUUUUACACUUUAAUCAACAAAGUUCAUCUGGUGAAUAACAGUUUAUCUAUUUUUCAUUUAAUCGUGUUGUGAUGAGCUCUUGUCAGCCAGAUUUUUGUCACUAUCAUUUAUAGCCAUGAUAAUUAAUAGACAUUGCCAAUACAAAAUCUGGAUCUUUU
Molecule: unclassified non-coding RNA, 310 nt
Filed under: Hevea brasiliensis (rubber tree)
Lineage: Eukaryota; Viridiplantae; Streptophyta; Magnoliopsida; Malpighiales; Euphorbiaceae
Source: RNAcentral